AGAGUGAACGCUGGCGGUAGGCCUAACACAUGCAAGUCGAACGGCAGCACAGUAAGAGCUUGCUCUUAUGGGUGGCGAGUGGCGGACGGGUGAGGAAUACAUCGGAAUCUACCUUUUCGUGGGGGAUAACGUAGGGAAACUUACGCUAAUACCGCAUAAGACCUUCGGGUGAAAGCCGGGGACCUUCGGGGCCUGGCGCGGAUAGAUGAGCCGAUGUCGGAUUAGCUUGUUGGCGGGGUAAAAGCCCACCAAGGCGACGAUCCGUAGCUGGUCUGAGAGGAUGAUCAGCCACACUGGAACUGAGACACGGUCCAGACUCCUACGGGAGGCAGCAGUGGGGAAUAUGGACAAUGGGCGCAAGCCUGAUCCAGCCAUACCGCGUGGGUGAAGAAGGCCGUUCGGUUAGUAAGUCCCGUUUUAGUUCGGAAGAAUCCUGCCGAUUAAUACUACAGUAGG
This 456-nucleotide ribosomal RNA is filed under the name uncultured soil bacterium. Its description in RNAcentral is "bacterial SSU rRNA". It matches the Rfam family "Bacterial small subunit ribosomal RNA", at positions 26 to 472 of the family's 1533-position model. The record is from RNAcentral.